Molecule: non-coding RNA, 900 nt
Organism: Leptonychotes weddellii (Weddell seal)
Lineage: Eukaryota; Metazoa; Chordata; Mammalia; Carnivora; Phocidae
Source: RefSeq, a predicted model, not a curated record
GUUGAAGGACGACAGCAGUGGUCAAGAGCACUGUCUGUGGAGCAAGACAGUCCGGGGCUCAGACUCCAGCUGCUAUUCGAGCUGUGUGACCUUGGACAAGGUACUUAUCUUCUCUUGGUCUGUGAAAUGGAGAAAAAUAGUCCUGCCCUGUCUGUGUGUUGUGAGGAGUCCGUGAAUUCAUGCAUGCAAAAUACCUACGUGGCACAUGGACAAUCUUGACUGUCGUGCUGCCUGCCCCCUUCGGUCGGAAGUGGCGAGGGAUGAAGCCCAGAGGAGAGCUGAGGCCAGUGGGGGCUGGGGUGCCCAGGCCUCUCUUUCUCCCACUGUCCCCUGAACACGGAUCCUGGGAACGUCUCUGCAAAUGGCAGGAAGGAUGGGGAUCACUGAUGGGCCAGUACCAGCAGGGGAGCCGCAAGACAGGGGCUGCAGUGAGGCCUGCAGCUAGACACCACCAGGACUUCCCAGUAAAGAGAGGCACAUGUCAGGGAUGGAAAGAUCUGGAUGCGGCCUAAGACGUUCUCAGACAAUGGAUCUUUGAAAACUCUCAGAACGGUGGUUUGGAAAUCCUGCCUCCACCAAGCCCUUCUCAGGCCCAUCAGAGCCAGGGCCUCGGGGCUGGAGUGAACAAAGCCCCUUCCUGCUCAGAUAGUGUCUGAGUCAGAGACUGGCCAGACUGACCCCACAAGAGCACCCAGGAAACUAUCUCAGGCCCCAGAAGAGGCCCAGGUACAUAGGAGGCUCCCAGGAAAUGCCUGUCAAGUGGAAUAGCGGCAAGUUGGAAUCGAGGAGCCCAACCCUUUAAUGGGACUUGCUCACGUCAUCCAGUCCCCAGCUUCUGGACCAGCCUGGAGAGGCAACACUGCAGAGGGAAGGGCCUUCUGGGAAUCAGAAGCCAGAUGA